GAUGAAUGCUGGCGGCGUGCUUAACACAUGCAAGUCGAGCGGAAAGGCCCUUCGGGGUACUCGAGCGGCGGACGGCUGAGUAACGCGUGGGAACAUGCCCCAAAGUGAGGAAUAACUGCCCGAAAGGGUGGCUAAUGCCGCAUAUGAUCUUCGGAUUAAAGGAUUUAUCCGCUUUGGGAGUGGCCUGCGUAUGAUUAGGUAGUUGGUGAGGUAAUGGCUCACCAAGCCGACGAUCAUUAGCUGGUCUGAGAGGAUGACCAGCCAGACUGGAACUGAGACACGGUCCAGACUCCUACGGGAGGCAGCAGUGAGGAAUAUUCCACAAUGGGCGAAAGCCUGAUGGAGCAACGCCGCGUGAAGGAUGAAGGCCCUCGGGUUGUAAACUUCUUAUAUAAGUGAAGAAUAUGACGGUAACUUAUGAAUAAGCACCGGCUAACUACGUGCCAGCCGCCGCGGUA
This 458-nucleotide ribosomal RNA is filed under the name uncultured bacterium. Its description in RNAcentral is "partial 16S ribosomal RNA". It matches the Rfam family "Bacterial small subunit ribosomal RNA", at positions 28 to 522 of the family's 1533-position model. The record is from RNAcentral.